UACGUAGGGUGCGAGCGUUAAUCGGAAUUACUGGGCGUAAAGCGUGCGCAGGCGGUUUUGUAAGUCUGAUGUGAAAGCCCCGGGCUCAACCUGGGAAUGGCAUUUGGGACUGCAAGGCUGGAGUAUGGCAGAGGAGACUAGAAUUCCUGGUGUAGCAGUGAAAUGCGUAGAUAUCAGGAGGAAUACCGAUGGCGAAGGCAGGUAUCUGGGCCAAUACUGACGCUCAUGCACGAAAGCGUGGGGAGCAAACGGG
This 253-nucleotide ribosomal RNA is filed under the name uncultured bacterium. RNAcentral describes it as "partial 16S ribosomal RNA". It matches the Rfam family "Bacterial small subunit ribosomal RNA", at positions 524 to 776 of the family's 1533-position model. The record is from RNAcentral.